Molecule: unclassified non-coding RNA, 210 nt
Filed under: fungal sp.
Lineage: Eukaryota; Fungi
Description: partial internal transcribed spacer region
Rfam family: Eukaryotic small subunit ribosomal RNA (bases 1-46)
Source: RNAcentral
AAGUCGUAACAAGGUUUCCGUAGGUGAACCUGCGGAAGGAUCAUUAACAAAUUCAAACACUGACGUCCCACUUGGCUGCUUUUACUGGUUCUCACAAGGAACCUUUAACGGCAUCAAGUGGUGUACACACAUACACACUUUGAUUGACAACACCUAGUGAUUAUCUAGUUAAUUUGUAGACAACUUUUAACAAUGGAUCUCUUGGCUCUU